This 77-nucleotide transfer RNA is filed under the name Candidatus Peribacteria bacterium RIFCSPHIGHO2_01_FULL_51_35. RNAcentral describes it as "tRNA-Ala". It matches the Rfam family "tRNA". Rfam says of the family: Transfer RNA (tRNA) molecules are approximately 80 nucleotides in length. Their secondary structure includes four short double-helical elements and three loops (D, anti-codon, and T loops). Lineage: Bacteria; Candidatus Peregrinibacteriota; Candidatus Peribacteria. The record is from RNAcentral. RNAcentral also lists the same sequence under 2 other names.
GGGGCUUUAGCUCAGCUGGCUAGAGCGCUUCCAUGGCAUGGAAGAGGUCAGGGGUUCGAAUCCCCUAAGCUCCACCA